RNAcentral lists this long non-coding RNA (1496 nucleotides) under Macaca fascicularis (crab-eating macaque). RNAcentral describes it as "lncRNA (ENSMFAG00000053317.1)". The record is from RNAcentral. Lineage: Eukaryota; Metazoa; Chordata; Mammalia; Primates; Cercopithecidae.
UCUGCUUUACUCAAUCCACUGAUUCAAAUGGUAAUCUCAUCCAAAAACACCCUUGCAGACACACCCAGAAUAAUGUUUGACCAAAUACCUGGACACCCUGUGACCCAGUGAAGAUGACACAUCAAAUUAACUAUCACAUCAUAGGAUCUCAUGGAAAGAUGAUUUAGAGUCAGCUCUACUACUCACUAUUGAUUAAGAGAGGCUGUCAGGGAAGACAGCGCAGUUUGCAACUAGACUGAAAUUUAAGCAUUAUCUCAGGCUGGGCGUGGUAACUCAUGCCUGUAAUCCUAGCACUUUGGGAGGCUAAAGCCGGUAGAUCAUCUGAGGGUCAGGAGUUGGAGACCAGCCUGGCUAACUUGGUGAAACCCUGUCUCUACUAAAAAUACAAAAAUUAGCCAGGUGUGGUGGCAGGCGCCUGUAAUCCCAGCUACUUGGGAGGCCGAAGCAGGAGAAUCACUGGCACCUGGGAGGUGGAGAGUGCAGUGAGCCGAGAUUACGCCAUUGCACUCUAGCCUGAGUGACAGAGUGAGACUCUGUCUCAAAAUAACAAUAAUAAUUAUCUCAAGCACUAUCUUUAAAUAUCUUCCAACAGCAGUUAUCAAAUAACGUGUGUAUGUAUAUAUUCCACCACCCCCUUAAUUUGGUACAGCUUCUAGAAUAUCAUUAUAAAACCCAUGAGCCCUCUGCUGUAGUGAGAAUCCCUGGAUGUUGUUCAUGCCCUGUUUAUUCUUUCACAUUCCCCUCCCCAUUCUCCAUCUAAAUCCUACCAGUCCUCUAAGGCCAGCUUAUAUUUCACCUUCUUCAUAACACAUGUGCUGCUAGCCACUCCAGCUCAUGAUAAUCUCUGUUUCUUUAGGUUUCAUGGCUCUUACUACCUGUUAUAAGGCUUUCUUGCCACUUUAUUACAUACUAUCUAAUAUUUCUUGUACUGAGGCUGGAAGUCAGAACAAUUAAAAGUUGGUACAUUGGUGUCAUAUAUACCUAGGUUCAAAUCUGACUUUGCUAUUUAUUAGUUAUAUAGCCCUGGGUGGGUAUUUACCUUCUCUGAUUUUCAAGCUGUGCAUUAGUAGAAUGAGAAUGACAAUGCACAAGUCAGACUCAUAGAAGCAGAGAGUAAAAUGGUGGUUGCCAAGUGCCGAGGAGAGGGGAAGAUGGGGAGAUGUUGGUUGCAGGGUUAAAAAAAAGAAUGCCGUUGGGCGCGGUGGCUCACACCUGUAAUCCCAGCACUUUGGAAGGCCGAGGCAGGCAGAUCACAAGGUCAGGAAUUCAAGACCAGCCUGGUGGCCAACAUAGUGAAACCCUGUCUCUACUAAAAAUACAAAAAUUAGCCGGGCAUGAUGGCGCACACCUCUAGUCCCAGCUACACGGGAGGCUGAGGCAGGAGAAUCGCUUGAACCUGGGAGGCGCAGGUUGCAGUGAGCUGAGAUCGCGCCACUGCACUCCAGCUUGAGGGACAGAGCAAGACUUUGUGUCAAAAAAAAAAAAAAAAAAAAAAA